This 427-nucleotide ribosomal RNA is filed under the name uncultured bacterium. Its description in RNAcentral is "partial 16S ribosomal RNA". It matches the Rfam family "Bacterial small subunit ribosomal RNA", at positions 355 to 774 of the family's 1533-position model. The record is from RNAcentral.
UGGGGAAUAUUGGACAAUGGGCGAAAGCCUGAUCCAGCCAUGCCGCGUGUGUGAAGAAGGUCUUCGGAUUGUAAAGCACUUUAAGUUGGGAGGAAGGGCAUUAACCUAAUACGUUAGUGUUUUGACGUUACCGACAGAAUAAGCACCGGCUAACUCUGUGCCAGCAGCCGCGGUAAUACAGAGGGUGCAAGCGUUAAUCGGAAUUACUGGGCGUAAAGCGCGCGUAGGUGGUUUGUUAAGUUGGAUGUGAAAUCCCCGGGCUCAACCUGGGAACUGCAUUCAAAACUGACUGACUAUAGUAUGGUAGAGGGUGGUGGAAUUUCCUGUGUAGCGGUGAAAUGCGUAGAUAUAGGAAGGAACACCAGUGGCGAAGGCGACCACCGGGACUAAUACUGACCCUGAGGUGCGAAAGCGUGGGGAGCAAACA